AUUGAACGCUGGCGGCAGGCCUAACACAUGCAAGUCGAGCGGAUGAACGGAGCUUGCUCCUGGAUUCAGCGGCGGACGGGUGAGUAAUGCCUAGGAAUCUGCCUGGUAGUGGGGGAUAACGUCCGGAAACGGGCGCUAAUACCGCAUACGUCCUGAGGGAGAAAGUGGGGGAUCUUCGGACCUCACGCGAUCAGAUGAGCCUAGGUCGGAUUAGCUAGUUGGUGGGGUAAAGGCCUACCAAGGCGACGAUCCGUAACUGGUCUGAGAGGAUGAUCAGUCACACUGGAACUGAGACACGGUCCAGACUCCUACGGGAGGCAGCAGUGGGGAAUAUUGGACAAUGGGCGAAAGCCUGAUCCAGCCAUGCCGCGUGUGUGAAGAAGGUCUUCGGAUUGUAAAGCACUUUAAGUUGGGAGGAAGGGCAGUAAGUUAAUACCUUGCUGUUUUGACGUUACCAACAGAAUAAGCACCGGCUAACUUCGUG
Molecule: ribosomal RNA, 484 nt
Filed under: uncultured bacterium
Lineage: Bacteria
Description: partial 16S ribosomal RNA
Rfam family: Bacterial small subunit ribosomal RNA
Source: RNAcentral